UGGACUUGGGGGGGGUGCCUAAUACAUGCAAGUCGAACGCACAGCGAAAGGUGCUUGCACCUUUCAAGUGAGUGGCGAACGGGUGAGUAACACGUGGACAACCUGCCUCAAGGCUGGGGAUAACAUUUGGAAACAGAUGCUAAUACCGAAUAAAACUUAGUGUCGCAUGACACAAAGUUAAAAGGCGCUUCGGCGUCACCUAGAGAUGGAUCCGCGGUGCAUUAGUUAGUUGGUGGGGUAAAGGCCUACCAAGACAAUGAUGCAUAGCCGAGUUGAGAGACUGAUCGGCCACAUUGGGACUGAGACACGGCCCAAACUCCUACGGGAGGCUGCAGUAGGGAAUCUUCCACAAUGGGCGAAAGCCUGAUGGAGCAACGCCGCGUGUGUGAUGAAGGCUUUCGGGUCGUAAAGCACUGUUGUAUGGGAAGAACAGCUAGAAUAGGAAAUGAUUUUAGUUUGACGGUACCAUACCAGAAAGGGACGGCUAAAUACGUGCCAGCAGCCGCGGUAAUACGUAUGUCCCGAGCGUUAUCCGGAUUUAUUGGGCGUAAAGCGAGCGCAGACGGUUUAUUAAGUCUGAUGUGAAAGCCCGGAGCUCAACUCCGGAAUGGCAUUGGAAACUGGUUAACUUGAGUGCAGUAGAGGUAAGUGGAACUCCAUGUGUAGCGGUGGAAUGCGUAGAUAUAUGGAAGAACACCAGUGGCGAAGGCGGCUUACUGGACUGCAACUGACGUUGAGGCUCGAAAGUGUGGGUAGCAAACAGGAUUAGAUACCCUGGUAGUCCACACCGUAAACGAUGAACACUAGGUGUUAGGAGGUUUCCGCCUCUUAGUGCCGAAGCUAACGCAUUAAGUGUUCCGCCUGGGGAGUACGACCGCAAGGUUGAAACUCAAAGGAAUUGACGGGGACCCGCACAAGCGGUGGAGCAUGUGGUUUAAUUCGAAGCAACGCGAAGAACCUUACCAGGUCUUGACAUCCUUUGAAGCUUUUAGAGAUAGAAGUGUUCUCUUCGGAGACAAAGUGACAGGUGGUGCAUGGUCGUCGUCAGCUCGUGUCGUGAGAUGUUGGGUUAAGUCCCGCAACGAGCGCAACCCUUAUUGUUAGUUGCCAGCAUUCAGAUGGGCACUCUAGCGAGACUGCCGGUGACAAACCGGAGGAAGGCGGGGACGACGUCAGAUCAUCAUGCCCCUAUGACCGGGGCUACCCCGGGCUACAUGGGCGUAACAACGAGUUGCCAACCGCCAAGGGGG
Molecule: ribosomal RNA, 1250 nt
Filed under: Leuconostoc mesenteroides
Lineage: Bacteria; Bacillati; Bacillota; Bacilli; Lactobacillales; Lactobacillaceae
Description: bacterial SSU rRNA
Rfam family: Bacterial small subunit ribosomal RNA
Source: RNAcentral